RNAcentral lists this ribosomal RNA (193 nucleotides) under Oxya podisma. RNAcentral's name for it is "5.8S ribosomal RNA". The stretch from base 34 to 188 matches the Rfam family "5.8S ribosomal RNA". Rfam says of the family: 5.8S ribosomal RNA (5.8S rRNA) is a component of the large subunit of the eukaryotic ribosome. It is transcribed by RNA polymerase I as part of the 45S precursor that also contains 18S and 28S rRNA. Lineage: Eukaryota; Metazoa; Arthropoda; Insecta; Orthoptera; Acrididae. The record is from RNAcentral.
GGAGUUUUGCAAACGUUUGAUACUGAAAAAGAUCACCCAGGACGGUAGAUCACUCGGCUCGUGGGUCGAUGAAGAACGCAGCAAAUUGCGCGUCGACAUGUGAACUGCAGGACACAUGAACAUCGACGUUUCGAACGCACAUUGCGGUCCAUGGAUUCCGUUCCUGGGCCACGUCUGGCUGAGGGUCGACUAC